AGGAUUAUAUUUAAUUAUAAUAUUUGAUUUGCAAUCAAAAGGUAUUCAAAAGAAUUAAUCUUU
RNAcentral lists this transfer RNA (63 nucleotides) under Chanohirata hamata. Its description in RNAcentral is "tRNA-Ala". Lineage: Eukaryota; Metazoa; Arthropoda; Insecta; Hemiptera; Cicadellidae. The record is from RNAcentral.